UUUCCGUAGGUGAACCUGCGGAAGGAUCAUUAUUGUGUAACCGAGGUGCGAGGGCUGUCGCUGACCCGAAAGGUCGUGCACGCCCGAGUGCCCUCACACACAUCCAUCUCACCCUUAUGUGCACCACCGCGUGGGUCCCCCUUUGGCUUGUUCGGAGGGGGGCUUACGUUUUCACACAAACUUUGUAUGCAGUGUAGAAUGUAUUUUUUGUUUUUGCGAUCACGCAAUCAAUACAACUUUCAACAACGGAUCUCUUGGCUCUC
RNAcentral lists this unclassified non-coding RNA (263 nucleotides) under plant metagenome. RNAcentral describes it as "partial contains small subunit ribosomal RNA, internal transcribed spacer 1, and 5.8S ribosomal RNA". The record is from RNAcentral.